Molecule: ribosomal RNA, 252 nt
Filed under: uncultured bacterium
Lineage: Bacteria
Description: partial 16S ribosomal RNA
Rfam family: Bacterial small subunit ribosomal RNA
Source: RNAcentral
UACGAAGGGGGCUAGCGUUGCUCGGAAUCACUGGGCGUAAAGGGUGCGUAGGCGGGUCUUAAGUCAGGGGUGAAAUCCUGGAGCUCAACUCCAGAACUGCCUUCGAUACUGGCGAUCUCGAGUCCGGGAGAGGUGAGUGGAACUCCGAGUGUAGAGGUGAAAUUCGUAGAUAUUCGCAAGAACACCAGUGGCGAAGGCGGCUCACUGGCCCGAUACUGACGCUGAGGCACGAAAGCGUGGGGAGCAAACAGG